GCUGAACACUCUUCUGAAUGAUCCAAGCAGUAAGAAGUUUGAACCCAGCUCAUCCAACUUCACGAGCACAUUAGACCAAAUUCAUGGCAAAAUUUAUUAUACCUUCCAAGAUGGAGCUGAGAUACAACCUAUCAGUUUCCUAAAUGAGCUUCGUAAACUGAUGGGACUGAGUACUACAACAACUCCAUUGACAACAAGUAGCUUCUCUGUGACAUCAUUCCAGCCAAU
Molecule: long non-coding RNA, 228 nt
Organism: Paramisgurnus dabryanus
Lineage: Eukaryota; Metazoa; Chordata; Actinopteri; Cypriniformes; Cobitidae
Source: RefSeq, a predicted model, not a curated record